This 146-nucleotide unclassified non-coding RNA is filed under the name soil metagenome. RNAcentral's name for it is "partial internal transcribed spacer 1". The record is from RNAcentral.
CCGAGUUUACAACUCCCAAACCCCUGUGAACAUACCACUUGUUGCCUCGGCGGAUCAGCCCGCUCCCGGUAAAACGGGACGGCCCGCCAGAGGACCCCUAAACUCUGUUUCUAUAUGUAACUUCUGAGUAAAACCAUAAAUAAUCA